RNAcentral lists this ribosomal RNA (668 nucleotides) under Leptocylindrus danicus. RNAcentral describes it as "partial Eukaryotic small subunit ribosomal RNA". Lineage: Eukaryota; Bacillariophyta; Leptocylindrophyceae; Leptocylindrales; Leptocylindraceae. The record is from RNAcentral.
UAGAAUUACUACGGUUAUCCGAGUAGCAGGUACCAUCAAACAAACUAUAACUGAUUUAAUGAGCCAUUCGCAGUUUCACAGUCUGAAUUAGUUCAUACUUACACAUGCAUGGCUUAAUCUUUGAGACAAGCAUAUGACUACUGGCAGGAUCAACCAGGUUGCUAUAGACGUAUCUGACACUAGCUUACAGACUGGAAGUAAAUUCCGGUCAGUUCACCAGUAACAUGUGAUGCGAAUAAUUGCUUAAUCGUAAUGGCAAAUACCAAUACUUGAGAGUAUACGAGCUGUUCAAGAACAACUGUACCUCCGCGUGUUAAUUGCUCAUUGAUUUUACCCAAAGCUUAGCGGCCACAGCUUAGCAGGGUGGUGAUUAGACAACCCUGAAAGCAACGAACCGAGCUUAAUACGUGCGGUCUCCACAGAAAAGGUAAACUUAUCUGAGAUUCUCACACAAGCGGCUUCAAAGUUAAUUUUAAAACUAGGUUUACAAAUUCUCUUCUCAUUUCCAUUUGCGUUUGAUACCAUAUAGGUGCCCAAACGUCGACUAUUGACUGGCCGCGACAUUGCUGUAUGAUAAUAAUCACAUCGCGAUAAAGCGGCCAUCGCUUCCCCAAGUGUAUGUAGACACGAGCCACCUGCGUCUACGAAUAGUUGUGCACCUCUCUACG